This 58-nucleotide transfer RNA is filed under the name Tubifex tubifex (sludge worm). Its description in RNAcentral is "tRNA-Leu". Lineage: Eukaryota; Metazoa; Annelida; Clitellata; Tubificida; Naididae. The record is from RNAcentral.
UCAAAAUAUGAUUUUUAAUCACUCACUAUGCAAUUUAGUUUAUGUAGAACCUUCAACU